Molecule: transfer RNA, 67 nt
Filed under: Caenis robusta
Lineage: Eukaryota; Metazoa; Arthropoda; Insecta; Ephemeroptera; Caenidae
Description: tRNA-Asn
Source: RNAcentral
UUAAAUGAAGCCAAAAAGAGGCAUGUCAUUGUUAAUGAUAUUAGUGAAAUAUAUGUUUCCAUUUAGA